GACGAACGCUGGCGGCGUGCUUAACACAUGCAAGUCGAACGGAAAGGCCCUGCUUUUGUGGGGUGCUCGAGUGGCGAACGGGUGAGUAACACGUGAGUAACCUGCCCUUGACUUUGGGAUAACUUCAGGAAACUGGGGCUAAUACCGGAUAGGAUCUCCUGCUGCAUGGUGGGGGUUGGAAAGUUUCGGCGGUUGGGGAUGGACUCGCGGCUUAUCAGCUUGUUGGUGGGGUAGUGGCGUACCAAGGCUUUGACGGGUAGCCGGCCUGAGAGGGUGACCGGCCACAUUGGGACUGAGAUACGGCCCGGACUCCUACGGGCGGCAGCAGUGGGGAAUAUUGCACAAUGGGCGGAAGCCUGAUGCAGCAACGCCGCGUGCGGGAUGACGGCUUUCGGGUUGUAAACCGCUUUCGCCUGUGACGAGGCGUGAGUGACGGUAAUGGGUAAAGAAGCACCGGCUAACUACGUG
Molecule: ribosomal RNA, 468 nt
Filed under: uncultured bacterium
Lineage: Bacteria
Description: partial 16S ribosomal RNA
Rfam family: Bacterial small subunit ribosomal RNA
Source: RNAcentral